GCCUGAGGCGGCGGCGGCCGCCGCGGCAGAGCUCGGGCCGUGCCCGCGCCGCCGGACGGGGCUGUGGGGGCUGCCCGCGCUCCCUCCCUCCCUGUCCCUCCCUGCUCGCCUUCCCGCCCGGCCCAACCUCGGCGGGUCCCUUGGCAGGCUCCCGGGGAAGGAUUGCCCGCAAAGGUAGGGGAUUGACGUUUGCGCCGCCGCCGCCGGUGGCGGAGUUUGGUCGGGGCGGCAACCGGGCUCGGCUCCCGGCGCGCUGUCCUGGCCGCCGCUUCCCUGACCUUUGGAACUGCUCGGCGCCGGGGGAAAACAAACCAUAAUAACGCCAAGCCCAGCCUGCCGGAGCCUCCGGGUUCAAAGUGUUUCUGCCCCUACCAGCAAAAACAGAUGCAGGGUUUUUCUGGCCAAAAAAAGGAAAAAAAAAAAAACAAACACUGGAAAGACAAUUUCUUAGAAUGCAGCUCAACUCUUUCAAAAUCUUUUGUGACUGGAGCCCUAACAUGAUGCAAAUGGCAGUCUUUUAGAUCAAAAGAAAUCAGUGCACACUCUCAAAAUGCAGUAAGACCAUUCACAAAUGAAAUACAGCAACAGAACCAAAUUCCAGAAUAUACAGGUUCAAUAGACAUGUUUGUGUAUGUUAACAGCAGAGAGAUUCCACUGUUAUGUGAAGACUGGGCCUGCUUCCUACAGACAUGGUAUAAAUACAUUUAAGUUUAGGAAUCGGAACCACCACAGCAAAACUACAGCUCAGACUACAGUAUAAAAGCAGGCAGUAAAAGCUUCAUUACCAGUAGCAUUAUGCUGUCUAUAUUGUUAAAUGGGAACUCUGUCAUCAAGAUGUAGAUUCGCUUGUGAGCACUGGAUUAAAAAGCUCUGAAAUGCAGAGUAAAAUUUAAGUGCUCUGUAGAAACAUCAGGGACAAAAAAAAAAUCCUCUUUUAACAAGUUUUAAAAUGAGAGGUACUAAUGCACAGUACUGUAUUACAACAUCUUUAAGUAACAAUUUGAUAAACAUAGAUUUUAGGAUCAAAUCAGAACUUCAAUAUGAUGUCUUUAUGUAUAGUUAUCUCUAUGACUGUAUGAACUCAAAAUACAGGUCCUACAAACUGAUUUACAUGUGCACAUGAGCAGAAGAUGAAAAUGCAAAUCUAUUGUUUGUCCUGAGUAUCUGUCCAAGCGUCUCUUUAUAGAUUUAUACCCAAAAUGGGUCUUUUUCAAUAGUUUUUAUUCCAAAAUGCUUUCAAAUCUUUGCAUGUGUAUGUGUUCUCUCAUAUAAAAAUCACCCAUAAGGAAUCCCUAUACAUGUGUAAUUUGAUGCGGUCACUCUUCUGUGUUAAGUUCCCUGGAAUACACCCUCCUUAAAAUAUGACAGCUAAGCCAUUUUGGAACUUACCAAAGGACAGGUUAGCUUCAUUUCUACUUUCCUUCAUUAUCUCCUAAGAUUUGAUAUUCAGGUGCUGAAACAUGAUGGUCUCUCCUUCUGUCCUGGUCUGUCUUCCUCCAAGCCCUCCUUUUCCUGUUCCCAUGGCUUCCACUACCUUGUUAGCUUGUCAUCCCCCUGAGCUUUACACCCCCAAAUAACACGUUUUUCCUCUCCCCCUGUGAGCCAUCACUACUUUUCUCUCAACCAUCUUUCAUCCAAGCAAGCAGCUCUCUUCCCUGCCAGUGCUGCUGCUUGGAGAACCAGAAAUGCUGGGCUGUCCUUUGCAUGUUGAUAAACAAAGCAGUUGGCUUCUUCCCCUAGGGCCUGAAAGUGUCACCUCCCCUAGACUGGGGCCUGGAAUUCCAACCACUUUCCUGAGCUUGGGUUUCACAGUUACUGAUCAGUUUGGGAGAGGGGAAAAGAAAAAAAGGUAAAGUGCUUACAGCAGCAAGUAAUCUGGGGCUAAGUGUACCUUCAUUUUCUCAAGCUGUUCUGUAGAAAUAAAUAAAAAUAGUACUGUGGGGGGAAAAAAAAGCUCAAGCCCUUUAUCGGUUUACUGAAUGUUAUCUGGGAAUACAGAAUAAGAACAUGCCUGCUGUCGUGGGUUAAAAAGGGGUUUCCCCUGGAGUUGGAAAGUGGAUAACUCCAGGGGGUGGUGUUCUUGGUGUUGACCCAAUCAGUGCCCCUGCAAAAUUAAACAUAUCACAGCAGGCCGGAAAAGAAGAGUGAUUAUGUAGUUGGAGGAGAUGUAACCGUGUUUUGAGACCACGAGGAGAGAGGGGCCAGGGAGCCCCACUGGGGGCCAAGGCCCCCCAGCCCCAGCUGGGGCUGCGGAAACUCGGAACAGUGUUAAACUGGGCCGAGUACUGUGGCCAAGAGCUGGGGGAAGUUUCUUUGCUGUGAGUGGACAACCAGAGACACUUAAACGGUGGCGGAGCAGCAUUGAACAGAGAGCUGUGGCUGAAAGCCAAGAAGAUAAGAGGGAAGCAGCAAAGAUGGUAUGGAACCAAGCUGAGAGACACAGAGCUGUCCAAUGGAGAGAGACAGAGAAUCAAGCUCAGUAGAGACUGUUUGGGGUGAGACUUGGCUUUUAUUUCCCCAAGCCCUUGAGACUCCUUUUGGAAGGAGAGGGUGGACUUCCAUUUGAAGGGAGUCCUGAAAUGCAGAGAUGUCCUGGAGCUGGACCAGGAUGACCAGAAGGAAUGCAGGGGAAAGUGGCCUCCCUUUUCCCCCCGUUUGCCAUGCUGGCAGUUUGAGAUGGAGCAAAGGAGCUCUGGUAGAAUGCUUGGGGCAAAAACUGUGGCCGGAACAGAGAGAUUUCUCUGAACAAUUUUUCCUGCACUCUGUAGGCCUUGUUUGCCAUGAUUUCAGAAGUGACAAACUGUGUGAAAAUAUGUGAUGUUUAUACUUGUUAGCCAUGUGUUUAUAAUUAUAAGGUUUGAGAACAUAAUAUGUUUAUAGUAAAAAAGCCUUGAGAAACUGGAGAUAAUGAAACACCUGCAGAUCUUGGGACAAGAGGCUUCGCAUGCCAAGUAUGAUCUUAGGCUGCGUGGACAAAGAACCGGGUCCAAUAAACUAAAAGCAUGAGAGGCAUGCACAGACUGAGCUAUCCAAUCACCUUGUGAGCAUGUACCCUGAACAAACUAAACUGUAUAAAAGUAAACUGAUUUUAAUAAUAAAUUGGACAUUGCUUUGAUCACAGUGAUCAUUUGCUUUGUCUCUGUACCUCUCCAUCAACAAAAACUGAACUGAAAGCCCUAAAUGUUCUGACUCAGAAGAACUUGAACCCCCUGAGGAAGGGACUGUCAUGGGUGCCUAGUACCCCGUGAUAUGACUAGGGUGAGGUGAGCUUUGUCCCUGCUUUCGCAGUCCAUGGGAGAGAGACCUUCGGCUGGAGCCAAAGGGCCGAGGGGUGAGAGAAAAACCCCUGUAUUGUAAUGAAGAGAAAGAGAGAGAUUUUCCAGCUAUGACAGAGUGAACCUGCUGCUUGGAAAAGAUUGUGCUGCCUUGAAAGUGAUUCUCUUCUUUUCUUUCUGAACUUUUAUUUGAUCUGUAUAUAUAUAUAUUGUUUUACCAUAGGAGAGAUAGAAUUGUUGUAUAUAAUGUAUUAGAGUAUUUAUUGUUAGUAAUAAAUUUUGAUAUAAUUUCCCCA
This is an RNA transcript of Pseudopipra pipra, 3571 nucleotides long. It is a transcript of the gene named zinc finger protein 239-like, with no coding region annotated. The transcript has 2 exons. NCBI's taxonomy places the organism in Eukaryota, Metazoa, Chordata, Aves, Passeriformes, Pipridae. The record is from RefSeq and is a predicted model, not a curated record.